GCUGCUGUAGCUCAGUGGUAGAGCACUCGCUUGGUAAGCGAGAGGUCGGCAGUUCAAUCCUGCCCAGCAGCACCA
RNAcentral lists this transfer RNA (75 nucleotides) under Alloyangia pacifica. RNAcentral's name for it is "tRNA-Thr". It matches the Rfam family "tRNA". Rfam says of the family: Transfer RNA (tRNA) molecules are approximately 80 nucleotides in length. Their secondary structure includes four short double-helical elements and three loops (D, anti-codon, and T loops). Lineage: Bacteria; Pseudomonadati; Pseudomonadota; Alphaproteobacteria; Rhodobacterales; Roseobacteraceae. The record is from RNAcentral.